Molecule: ribosomal RNA, 315 nt
Filed under: uncultured eukaryote
Lineage: Eukaryota
Description: partial 18S ribosomal RNA
Rfam family: Eukaryotic small subunit ribosomal RNA
Source: RNAcentral
CCCUUAGAUGUUCUGGGCUGCACGCGCGUUACACUGACGCACGCAACAGGUGCCUGCUCCGAGAGGACUGGGUAAUCAUUUGAGUGUGCGUCGUGAUGGGGAUAGAAUAUUGUAAUUAUUACUCUUCAACGAGGAAUUCCUAGUAAGCGCCAGUCAGCAGCUUGCGCUGAUUACGUCCCUGCCCUUUGUACACACCGCCCGUCGCUCCUACCGAUGGGUGAUCCGGUGAAUGAUUCGGACUUCAGCGGCUCCCCUGGGGUGCGCCGGAGAAAGUUUUGUGAACCUUAUCACUUGGAGGAAGGAGAAGUCGUAACA